This 460-nucleotide ribosomal RNA is filed under the name uncultured bacterium. Its description in RNAcentral is "partial 16S ribosomal RNA". It matches the Rfam family "Bacterial small subunit ribosomal RNA", at positions 338 to 795 of the family's 1533-position model. The record is from RNAcentral.
CCUACGGGUGGCUGCAGUGAGGAAUAUUGGUCAAUGGACGCGAGUCUGAACCAGCCAAGUAGCGUGAAGGAUGACUGCCCUAUGGGUUGUAAACUUCUUUUAUAUGGGAAUAAAACGUUCCACGUGUGGGAUUUUGUAUGUAUCAUAUGAAUAAGGGUCGGCUGACUCUGUGCCAGCAGCCGCGGUAUUACGGAGGAUCCGAGCGUUAUACGGAUUUAUUGGGUUUAAAGGGAGCGUAGGUGGAUUGUUAAGUCAGUUGUGAAAGUUUGCGGCUCAACCGUAAAAUUGCAGUUGAAACUGGCAGUCUUGAGUACAGUAGAGGUGGGCGGAAUUCGUGGUGUAGCGGUGAAAUGCUUAGAUAUCACGAAGAACUCCGAUUGCGAAGGCAGUUCACUGGACUGCAACUGACACUGAGGCUCGAAAGUGUGGGUAUCAAACAGGAUUAGAUACCCGAGUAGUC